GCUCUGGCUUCGGCAGCACAGAUACUAAAAUUGGAACGAAACAGAAGAUGAGCAUGGCCUCUGCAAGGGUGACAUGCAAAUUUGUGAAGUAUUCAAAAAAUUU
Lepus europaeus (European hare) is the source of this 103-nucleotide small nuclear RNA. The record is from RefSeq and is a predicted model, not a curated record. Lineage: Eukaryota; Metazoa; Chordata; Mammalia; Lagomorpha; Leporidae.